AUUUUACCUUUUUUUUUUUAAUACAGAUUUCAAGCUAUUCGUUCUUGCUACACCGAAAUCGUUGGAUUGUCCCUUGUAUAAUAGUGAAGGAAGGCGGAAUUAAAGAGGGCAUAUGGAGCUCACAAUACAAGACAUAGAACUUGCAGUAAACAAUGAAAACUCGAGAGUCAACCGCUUCCGGGUAAGAAUCUUAUCACAUAAUAUUGCUGAUUUAAUGCAUAUAAAAUAAUGAUGGUUCAUAUAUCAUGAAUUCUAGUUUAAAGACUAAUUAAGAUUCUCUAUGUGCUCCAAUCAAUAAGCAAGCUUCAUACUACAAGUGUUACUCCUUUUUUUUUACUCAC
This is a long non-coding RNA of Daucus carota subsp. sativus, 341 nucleotides long. RefSeq lists it as uncharacterized. The record is from RefSeq and is a predicted model, not a curated record. The transcript is spliced from 3 exons. NCBI's taxonomy places the organism in Eukaryota, Viridiplantae, Streptophyta, Magnoliopsida, Apiales, Apiaceae.